GGGCAGAGAGGGCCACGUCUCCGUUACAAAUUAGACGGUAGGCUUCUUCGCCAUGAAGCAAAGAAGAGAAAAAGACACACAAGCACACUCACUACAAUUCUCUCUCGACGAAGGUACAAAGAUCUUUUUAUUUUUAUUUUACUCAUUAUAUCUAACAUAGGAGUAAACACACAAUCUCUCAGCCAAGGGAGUAUUGAGAUAUACAACGAGAACCCUUCAAGGGUGAAAAACAACAAAGCUUAUUUAUUUAGUUGUAUGUUUUGGAUUUUUUAAUUUGAUCAGCCCCGUCUAACGGUGGCUAAUUAAGCAGUGGGAGAGUUACCGGAAGAUUGAUGUCGGAGAUUUGUCCAGGUGACAUCUCCAUAUUAUCAGCUUCGGCUCCCGCAAGAUUCUUCUUCUCCUUCUGCAAGUUAAUAAUAGGUCAAAAACUCAAAAUCACCAAAUCCACUUUUCUUUCUCUAUUUUGUCUUCUAUAAUUUAUUAUCUACAACUACACAAGAAAUAUUCUUUUCAUACCAACCAUUCAAAUACAUAGCGAUCCUGGCCUCCAUAUAAACUUGCAAAUAUUGGUUUCCGUUCAGUAAUAUUAUCACCAAAUUAGAAUGAACAUCGGCACAAUAUAAAAUAGAAUAAACCAAAUCUAUCCAAAAACCUGAAUGCCCUAAUACUUAAAAGGGAGUGCAAUAUCUAUUAUUCUAUUAUAUAUGUAUAUAUGUGUGCAAGUAUAAGAGUGUAUAUGUGCAAGAAGUGCUUAUUGGCUUUUGCAUAUUUAAGAAGAAAGUAGCUUUCGUUACCUGGCCAGCCAAAGCCUGAUUCUCUUCUUUCAGCAGCUUCUCCUGUUUAUGAAGGACAACAUGUUCAUCAGUUGCAAGUUUCUAAACCUAAUUUCAGAUUCUGGUAUCAAAAACAAUAUUUUAAUCAUCCCUGAAAGACCAGAUGCAUUAUGAAGAAGUUUGAUUGCGAGCUCAUAAAGCACACUUAGAGAAACUAGUACAACACAAAUAUUUUGAGGCUUUCAACACGAGAGGAUAUCCGAAGUGCUAUAAAAUCAUAUAUGAUAUAUCUAACCUUUUCUUUGAGGCUAUCAACAAGCUUCAACAUUAGUUCUGUCUGCAACAAAUUGAAUAUAAGUGAACAAUCGUUUCAACAAACAAAGUAAGAAAUGAGAAGACAGUAUGAAGUCACCGUACCUUCCUAGCUCUAGUUAGAGAGAGGGCAUUUUCAAGGACCCCCUCCAGCUGAACGAGGGUGUCCACGCUUACACCACCGACAUUUGAUUCCACAAGCUUGCUGCAUAUAUAUGCACAGAUUGACAAGAAACCCUAAUACCUUUGUAAUGAAAGGAGGAGAGGGAAAAAAGUCUCAGGUAGUACUAACCUAUCCACAAGUUCAAGUAACUCAUUGUGUGAACCAUAGCUCAGAGCUUUUGACUGAAGAUUCUGUCCACGGAGAAGGGAUAUAAGAGCCGUUAGAAGGCAACAAAUUUGAGAAAUUUGAUAUGCACGUGGAUCUAUAACCUCACAUAGGAUCAUUCGGCGAACUAAUAUAUAGCUCAUAGGUGGACCAACAAUGCAAUACCUCUAUCUAGAUCCACAGUUUUAAGGUGCUAAACAUGUGUUCACAUAUGUUUAUCGAAAAAUUACUCUCAAGGGAAUAUCAAUAUCUCUCAACAACCUCUUCUAUGUUGAGGAAAACAUUUGUUAACUACAGCUCCAAAAUAGAAAUGAUAUGCGUACACGUUAAAUGCGCAUGAGCCAAUGCCCACAAAACGCAAGCUUAAAGUUGAGGCUAUGAGUUGGCUCAUACUAUUAUUCUAUUUCUAAUUUCCGUAUGUAUGAGUAUUAUUUGUUUUCCCUAAAUAUAAAAAAAUAACUAUUUAUAUUUUAUAAAUAAUUUAAUUUGGUUGAAUUGUAUACUUUGUUCUAUAGUAAUGUUUAGAGUAAUAACUAGCAAUGAAUUGGAGAUAAUUUUUCCUUUUCAGCAUAGUUUCUAAAAUAUGCAUGGAUACAUCACUAAACCAUUUUUUUAAUACACCAUGUAUAGUUUCUUGUGAUUUUAAAAAAUUAAUAAACGGACAUCGUUUUCACUAGCUAAUAUUUAGUGCAUAUGCAUUAGAUCACGAACUUUUUUUGGUAAACAUGUUAAAAAUUAGAUCACGAACUUAACUUUCGCUUUCCUCUUCUAUGUGAUUUGUUUAUUAUUUUUCCCAUACUAUACUAAUUCUUAUAUGAAACAUAAAAAAUAUGCGUUAAAACUGAAUACAUUUCCCAAAGAUAUGAAAGACAUGUAAGCUCUGCCGUAGUGCCUUUUAGGUAAGCUCAUACGAAAGCGUUGUAAUUAAUAUUGCUGAUAGCUCUGACUCUGAUCUCACUAAUCCCUGAAAUCCCUGGUUUACCAUAUAAUGAGUUUAUCCAAUUCUUCUUCUCCCACGUCACUCUUACAGCGUUUAUAACCUUCUUACCUAUAUUAAGUUCCUUAUAUAAUAGACAGGAAAACGGCCAAGUCCAAUCUCAACAUUGCUUCAUAGUCUCAAUCCAAACAUAUAUUUAGUAGUUACUAGUAAGUGCCUAUGCUAAAAAAUAGUUAACGUAUGAAAACUAUUUGUUACGUAUUGAAUACAAUGUUGAAGUCAGAACUGGCCACUAUCUUACCAUUACCAUGGACACAUGCGUCACCAAGAUUAUUUUAACACCCAUGGUUUCUAAUAGAUUCACAAGGCAUUUCUACACUUUUUGCAGAAUAUGAUCGGUCAUAAUAAAAAACAGUCUUUUGUUUUAUUUAAUUAAGUCGGUGCCCAUCGACUUUGAUGCCAUGCAACUGAAGAAAAAUCCUGGUAACCUAUGGCCCGGGGAUAACUCUUGUCCACCUGAAAUAGAUAUAAAUAUCUCCGCCACAAAAUUCCAACUUUGACAACUUAUGUUUAGCUCAUACCAAACCAGGAAAUCUCGACACGUCCUCCAUGCACAUGCACAACCUCCUUUCCAAAAAAAAAACAUGGUUAAUCUUCUACAUGUGCGUUUAUAAUCUAUAACAUCUAUAUAAAGGCACUCAAUCUAAGAAAAGUUGGUCGUGUUACAUCAAUACAGACAACAACAACAACCUCAAUCAACGUAAACUAUACUAAGAAAAUAAGAUUAGAUGAGAUGAUUAGUAAUUAAAGUCCUGGACUAAAAAGCAAAAUGGUGGAAGUCGAAGAAUUAGAACCACUUACCCCAGUUGAAGAGGAAGAAGAAGAAGUCAUAAGCUAUGAUGAUCUCAAACGACGCAUGUGGAAAGACCGAAACCUCAUGGAGAAGCUCAAGCAACAAAAAAGACACAGCAACGACGUCGUUUCCUUGGCAUCGCACCGAGCAGAAGCUUCACGGCGCAAGAAGAUGGCACGUUCACAAGACUCGGUGUUGAAGUACAUGAUGAAGAUCAUGGAGGUGUGUAAAGCGAAAGGGUUUGUCUACGGUAUCGUACCGGACAAGGGUAAACCGAUAACCGGUUCUUCAGACAGCUUAAGACGUUGGUGGAAAGAAACCGUUCAGUUCGACCAAACCGCUCCAAACGCCGUCUCCGAUUACUUAACAAUCGCAGCUGCUGCUGCGGCAGAGAUGAUCGAGAAAGAACCGUCGAGUCUAUUACACAUGCUUCAAGAGUUACAAGACACGACUCUAGGGUCGUUACUAUCAGCGUUAAUGCAACACUGCGUCCCACCACAACGGCGGUUUCCGUUAGAGAAAGGCAUCGCGCCGCCGUGGUGGCCGACGGGGACCGAGCUUUGCUGGGGAGAGCAAGGAGAGGCUCACGAGCACGGUGUGCCGCCGUAUCGAAAGCCGCACGAUUUGAGAAAGUCUUGGAAAGUUAGCGUUCUGGCGGCUGUGAUUAAACACAUGUCGCCAGAUUUAGGGAGAGUGAGACGUCUCGCGACGCAGUCGAAAUGUUUACAAGAUAAGAUGAUGGCUAAAGAGACCGAUACUUGGUCUCGUGUGUUAAACCAAGAAGAGGCGCUUCUUAAUAUCAAAGACCUCAAGAUCUCAGAUCAAGAUCAAGAAGCUUCGGGGUCCAAGACCAAGAGAAAAUGUGAUUUUAUGGAACCGUCUAAGCGUCCUAGGAAUGAUGUGAUACAAGAACCGAGACAGAUCACAGGAGAUAUGAUAUCUAUGCUUGUAACGUCCCCAAGUAUUGCUACUAAUACAACUAGUGAAGAUGAUUACAGUGUAAGCUCGAGCGCAAUGGGCAAGCCAGAUGAUUAUGAUAGCAACUGGAUGGAUUAUUUAUGGUUCGAGAGGAUGCAACACGAGUUUUGUUGGGAUUGUGAAAUCCCAUGUCCAACUCUAUAUUAUCCGAUUAGUACGAUAUUGUCCACUUUGGGCCUAAUUGGCAAGCCCGCAUGGAUUUACUUUUGGUUUCCAUCCCAAAAGGCCUCGUACUAUUAGAGUUGGACAUCUCUUUAUAUAUUAGACACUCCUUGUCUAAUUAUCCAAUGUGGGACUUUGAUUGACAUCUCUCAAGUUUGAUUCCUCUAGGAGAUUCGAUGAUGACGAGGAUAAUGCGAUGGUUUUGAACCAAUCCCCUGAGUCUAAUCAAUCUGAUAACGUUAGUCAGAGUGCCUUUUCAGUUUGGGAUAUGGGUUGUGAAGACAAAGACAUAUAUAUGUUCGAUUAUUAAUCAAGCAUGUCACCUUGUGUGCUUUGGGUGUACCCAAGUCAGAACAUUUCCAUACUUGUAUACUCUUUAGUUAGCUCUAUCAACCACCAAUACAAUUGAAUAAUUCAUAAGUCAAGCUUUACUAAUUAAGUAAUAUUAUUAAUUAGAAUCACUAGUUAAACCGUUUUGUCUUUCCCUCCACUCGUUCCAAUUAGUUUUUGAGAUGUAGCAUGUGAAUUAUAUUAUUUGUUCUUGGAUAAUAGACGAAGACAAGGAUAUGAAGAGGUCCGUUAAGCGUUGAACAGAAAUGGAUCUUAAGAACUUAAGCCUUAUAGAGCCUAAUCAGACCGACUCGGACCCAUAGAAAAACCAUGACAACCUCUAUGCGUUGUGGAUAAAUACAAAGGAAUUACGAAUACAAAAGGGCAGAGAGGGCCACGUCUCCGUUACAAAUUAGACGGUAGGCUUCUUCGCCAUGAAGCAAAGAAGAGAAAAAGACACACAAGCACACUCACUACAAUUCUCUCUCGACGAAGGUACAAAGAUCUUUUUAUUUUUAUUUUACUCAUUAUAUCUAACAUAGGAGUAAACACACAAUCUCUCAGCCAAGGGAGUAUUGAGAUAUACAACGUGCACCCUUCAAGGGUGAAAAACAACAAAG
RNAcentral lists this long non-coding RNA (5293 nucleotides) under Brassica napus (rape). RNAcentral describes it as "long non-coding RNA (BNAP_LNC001994)". Lineage: Eukaryota; Viridiplantae; Streptophyta; Magnoliopsida; Brassicales; Brassicaceae. The record is from RNAcentral.